Molecule: ribosomal RNA, 254 nt
Filed under: uncultured bacterium
Lineage: Bacteria
Description: partial 16S ribosomal RNA
Rfam family: Bacterial small subunit ribosomal RNA
Source: RNAcentral
UACGAAGGGGGCUAGCGUUGUUCGGAUUUACUGGGCGUAAAGCGCACGUAGGCGGAUCGUUAAGUCGGGGGUGAAAUCCUGGAGCUCAACUCCAGAACUGCCUUCGAUACUGGCGAUCUUGAGUCCGGAAGAGGUGAGUGGAACUCCUAGUGUAGAGGUGGAAUUCGUAGAUAUUAGGAAGAACACCAGUGGCGAAGGCGGCUCACUGGUCCGGUACUGACGCUGAGGUGCGAAAGACGUGGGGAGCAAACAGG